Molecule: non-coding RNA, 100 nt
Organism: Acanthosepion pharaonis
Lineage: Eukaryota; Metazoa; Mollusca; Cephalopoda; Sepiida; Sepiidae
Source: the annotation of a GenBank genome assembly
GGUUGAAACACCAGUUCUCUUACGAUCACCGAAGUUAAACAACGUCGAGCAAGGUCAGUACUUAGAUGAGAGUCUGCUUAGGAAUACCAGGUGUUGUAAG